CAAUAGCGUAUAUUUAAGUUGUUGCAGUUAAAAAGCUCGUAGUUGGAUUUCGGAUGGGAUUUGCCGGUCCGUCGUUACGAUGUGCACUGGCCAGUCCUAUCUUGUUGUCGGGGACUAGCUCCUUGGAUUCACUUCCUGGGACUAGGAGCUGACGAGGUUACUUUGAGUAAAUUAGAGUGUUCAAAGCAAGCCUACGCUCUGAAUACAUUAGCAUGGAAUAACACGAUAGGACUCUGGCUUAUCUUGUUGGUCUGUGAGACCAGAGUAAUGAUUAAGAGGGACAGUCGGGGACAUUCGUAUUUCAUUGUCAGAGGUGAAAUUCUUGGAUUUAUGAAAGACGAACUUCUGCGAAGGCAUUUGUCAAGGAUGUUUUCAUUAA
Molecule: ribosomal RNA, 379 nt
Filed under: uncultured eukaryote
Lineage: Eukaryota
Description: partial 18S ribosomal RNA
Rfam family: Eukaryotic small subunit ribosomal RNA
Source: RNAcentral